RNAcentral lists this long non-coding RNA (712 nucleotides) under Malus domestica (apple). Its description in RNAcentral is "long non-coding RNA (MDOM_LNC007712)". Lineage: Eukaryota; Viridiplantae; Streptophyta; Magnoliopsida; Rosales; Rosaceae. The record is from RNAcentral.
UGACCACAUAACAGCUAUGUAAUUCAUGAAAAAUGUACUCAUAGAAAGAAGAAAUCUUUGGAAUGAAAAACCAAAUAAGGGGAUAAGUAUGAUACUGAUAAAACUAAACGAGCUACUAUGCAUAAAGAGGUCCCAAAUUGGUCCAACACAAGACUGUGAGACUGGUAAAACACUUGUGUUUUAAACAAAUUUACAUCAAGCAGUAGGGUGCACAUCAUUCCCUUAAGAAAAACUUAGAAUAGAUAUCUCUCUUUUUUCCUUCAGUUUGUGCUGUUUUUUAUUCUGUAUAAAAGAAAUAUAAACUAAAUUUUAUUAAAUAUGAAGAAAUUUAAAAAGAUUGUAAACUUUCUUUCCUUUGUGUUGAAUAAGGUUGAUACUUGAUAGACAUACAUAGAGGACAAAACCUAGCUGCUCUACUACCAAAGAUUGUCAGAUGUUAAAUCAUUGCAUGUUGGAACUAAUCAAAGAUUGUCAGAUUUUAAAAACAAAACAUGGGUUUCAAGAAAUGAAAAUUCAUAAUUUCGAAUGACAAAUAAGAAACAAAAACAUAUGAUUUAUGAAGAUACAACAUUAAACAAAUGAAAAGAACAGAGAUGUAGAGAUGUAGAAACAAAAUCGAACUUGGAGUGGAAUCUAGAGAAUGCAGAGAUGUAGAGACGACUAGAGCAGAGAUGACAAGAUCAAGAAUGAUUCCGUCCAGACGUCCACCGCA